Molecule: ribosomal RNA, 501 nt
Filed under: uncultured bacterium
Lineage: Bacteria
Description: partial 16S ribosomal RNA
Rfam family: Bacterial small subunit ribosomal RNA
Source: RNAcentral
AUUGAACGCUGGCGGCAGGCUUAACACAUGCAAGUCGAGCGGAGAUGAGGUGCUUGCACCUUAUCUUAGCGGCGGACGGGUGAGUAAUGCUUAGGAAUCUGCCUAUUAGUGGGGGACAACAUUCCGAAAGGAAUGCUAAUACCGCAUACGUCCUACGGGAGAAAGCAGGGGAUCUUCGGACCUUGCGCUAAUAGAUGAGCCUAAGUCGGAUUAGCUAGUUGGUGGGGUAAAGGCCUACCAAGGCGACGAUCUGUAGCGGGUCUGAGAGGAUGAGCCGCCACACUGGGACUGAGACACGGCCCAGAGUCCUACGGGAGGCAGCAGUGGGGAAUAUUGAACAAUGGGGUAAACCCUGAUCCAGCCAUGCCGCGUGUGUGAAGAAGGCCUUAUGGUUGUAAAGCACUUUAAGCGAGGAGGAGGCUACUGAGACUAAUACUCUUGGAUAGUGGACGUUACUCGCAGAAUAAGCACCGGCUAACUCUGUGCCAGCCGCCGCCGUAA